GGGGGUGUAGCUCAGGGCUAGAGCAUUUGACUGCAGAUCAAGAGGUCCCUGGUUUAAAUCCAGGUACCCCCU
RNAcentral lists this transfer RNA (72 nucleotides) under Choloepus hoffmanni (Hoffmann's two-fingered sloth). RNAcentral's name for it is "tRNA-Cys (GCA) (tRNA-Cys-GCA-20-1)". It matches the Rfam family "tRNA". Rfam says of the family: Transfer RNA (tRNA) molecules are approximately 80 nucleotides in length. Their secondary structure includes four short double-helical elements and three loops (D, anti-codon, and T loops). Lineage: Eukaryota; Metazoa; Chordata; Mammalia; Pilosa; Megalonychidae. The record is from RNAcentral.